GUCAAUGGUGGCGCUGGUGGGGCAGCCUUCGGGCUGGCCGGUUUCCAGUAACGCCGGUAUUGCUACCCCCGCCAGCGUCACCGCCCCU
Molecule: non-coding RNA, 88 nt
Organism: Pantoea stewartii subsp. stewartii DC283
Lineage: Bacteria; Pseudomonadati; Pseudomonadota; Gammaproteobacteria; Enterobacterales; Erwiniaceae
Source: Rfam